This 515-nucleotide ribosomal RNA is filed under the name uncultured Actinomycetes bacterium. Its description in RNAcentral is "bacterial SSU rRNA". It matches the Rfam family "Bacterial small subunit ribosomal RNA", at positions 934 to 1451 of the family's 1533-position model. Lineage: Bacteria; Bacillati; Actinomycetota; Actinomycetes. The record is from RNAcentral.
GGAGCAUGCGGCUUAAUUCGACGCAACGCGAAGAACCUUACCAAGGCUUGACAUAUACAGGAAUAUGGCAGAAAUGUCAUAGCCGCAAGGUCUGUAUACAGGUGGUGCAUGGUUGUCGUCAGCUCGUGUCGUGAGAUGUUGGGUUAAGUCCCGCAACGAGCGCAACCCUCGUUCUGUGUUGCCAGCAUUUAGUUGGGGACUCACAGGAGACUGCCGGGGUUAACUCGGAGGAAGGUGGGGAUGACGUCAAAUCAUCAUGCCCCUUAUGUCUUGGGCUGCACGCAUGCUACAAUGGCUGGUACAAACGGCUGCGAUACCGCAAGGUGGAGCGAAUCCGAUAAAGCCAGUCUCAGUUCGGAUUGGGGUCUGCAACUCGACCCCAUGAAGUCGGAGUUGCUAGUAAUCGUAGAUCAGCAACGCUACGGUGAAUACGUUCCCGGGGCUUGUACACACCGCCCGUCACGUCACGAAAGUCGGUAACACCCGUAAGUCAGUGGCCCAACCGUAAGGGGGGA